This 231-nucleotide unclassified non-coding RNA is filed under the name uncultured fungus. Its description in RNAcentral is "sequence contains ITS1". The record is from RNAcentral. Lineage: Eukaryota; Fungi.
GUAUUGUAUUGCGUUAAACGCUAUGUACAUUCCAUGAGACUUUAUAACGGUGUGUGUGUAAAGACAUAGCACCAUGGCAAGAGGACAGAGCCCCCAGGCCACAGAACUACAGAGGGUGCACAGGUGUGAGUGGAUGUGUGAACAGAGCGUGCACAUGCCCCCAUUUGAGGACCAGCAACAACUCGUGUUGACAAUUCGGUAAUGAUCCUUCCGCAGGUUCACCUACGGAAA